This 351-nucleotide ribosomal RNA is filed under the name Triticum aestivum (bread wheat). RNAcentral's name for it is "partial small subunit ribosomal RNA". Lineage: Eukaryota; Viridiplantae; Streptophyta; Magnoliopsida; Poales; Poaceae. The record is from RNAcentral.
AUGGAGAAGGACAGCCACAAGGAGGGGGAGGGGGCGACGGCGUGGAUGACGGUGCCGGCGUUCGGGGACUGGGACAUGAAGAACGGCGCCAUGCCGGACUACUCCAUGGACUUCUCCAAGAUCCGGGAGAUGCGCAAGCAGAACAAGAAGGAGCUCUCCCGCGCCAGCCUCGGCGGCGACGACGACCUCCUCGCCCACCACAAGCAGCACCACCACCAGCAGCAGCCCGCCGCCAAGGCUCCCCAGCAGCCCACCAAGCUCGGCGCUCCGGCCAAAGACCACGGCCGCGACCACUCGCCCACCGGAAGGAAGAGGUUCCUGAGCUAUUUCCAGUGCUGCAUCAAGGCCUGA